GCGGGCGUAGCUCAGGGGUAGAGCACGACCUUGCCAAGGUCGGGGUCGGGCGUUCGAAUCGCCUCGCCCGCUCCA
Molecule: transfer RNA, 75 nt
Filed under: Alphaproteobacteria bacterium
Lineage: Bacteria; Pseudomonadati; Pseudomonadota; Alphaproteobacteria
Also listed under: 7 other names
Description: tRNA-Gly
Rfam family: tRNA
About the family: Transfer RNA (tRNA) molecules are approximately 80 nucleotides in length.
Source: RNAcentral